RNAcentral lists this ribosomal RNA (497 nucleotides) under uncultured bacterium. RNAcentral describes it as "partial 16S ribosomal RNA". It matches the Rfam family "Bacterial small subunit ribosomal RNA", at positions 28 to 507 of the family's 1533-position model. The record is from RNAcentral.
GAUGAACGCUGGCGGCGUGCCUAAUACAUGCAAGUCGAGCGAACAGACGAGGAGCUUGCUCCUCUGACGUUAGCGGCGGACGGGUGAGUAACACGUGGAUAACCUACCUAUAAGACUGGGAUAACUUCGGGAAACCGGAGCUAAUACCGGAUAAUAUAUUGAACCGCAUGGUUCAAUAGUGAAAGACGGUUUUGCUGUCACUUAUAGAUGGAUCCGCGCCGCAUUAGCUAGUUGGUAAGGUAACGGCUUACCAAGGCGACGAUGCGUAGCCGACCUGAGAGGGUGAUAGGCCACACUGGAACUGGGACACGGUCCAGACUCCUACGGGAGGCAGCAGUAGGGAAUCUUCCGCAAUGGGCGAAAGCCUGACGGAGCAACGCCGCGUGAGUGAUGAAGGUCUUCGGAUCGUAAAACUCUGUUAUUAGGGAAGAACAAAUGUGUAAGUAACUAUGCACGUCUUGACGGUACCUAAUCAGAAAGCCACGGCUAACUACGUG